CCAAUAUGGUAGCUUAUCGCUUAUUAAAGUUCUUUCUCUACCAUUGCCUGCUUGGCCUUUUGUCUUGUGGCGAACAGCUUAAGCCCUUCCUUGCUCGUUGUCUCUUUGAGGAAUGCUGGGAUUUGCCCCUGGAAUUUAUGGAAGACUGCAUGCAGGGGUUGGUGACUUUCAGGAAUGUUUCCAUCACCUUCUCUUGGGAGGAGUGGGCGUGUCUGGACCCUGCUCAGAGAGAUUGUACAAGAGUGUGAGGGUGGAGAACGGCAACAACCUGGUUUCAUGGUGUAAGGACAUCAUUCUUCCUAAACUCAAGAUUUCCAUAUUCCUUUGGGUGCUACAUUAUGACUCUGGGGGAAAUUAUGACUGGCUUGCCAGUAUGUCUGUUUCCUAUUCUCUGCAGCUUUAGGUGCUUCGUGGAAUUAGAAACGGGCAGGUUCACGUGGCCUGUUUCAUAAUGUCCGGAAUGCUGGGACUUUGAUCUUACCCAUUCUUUGGGUGAUCUGCAUAUCCUUCUGUGGCCGUUGGUUUUAAAACUUCUGUUUAUAUUAAAUCUCCUUAAGAGUGGUAAAAAUUCUGACUUUGAACAUCUGUCCCAUGGUGAUUGCCUCUGAG
Molecule: long non-coding RNA, 609 nt
Filed under: Equus caballus (horse)
Lineage: Eukaryota; Metazoa; Chordata; Mammalia; Perissodactyla; Equidae
Description: lncRNA (ENSECAG00000052964.1)
Source: RNAcentral